UAAAUUUAUUGUCAGUAUUAGUCACUUACGCGAAGGUAGAUUGAGGUUGAAAGUCAGAUUUACACAACAAAUAUUUAAUCGUCUACUUUUAUGUGUCGUCGACUGUACUAAAAGUUCCUAUUUUUUUUUAACUAAUUAAACCUUAAGUGUUUGAUAUCCGAGUGAAGCAUAUAAGAUAAUCCAGUCCUUAACCGUAUCAAUCGAAUAUUCUACAUACAAUAUAUCAUUCAUAUUUUAUUUAACCUCACCGAAAACAUGUCAAAUAGCACUGACUCUGAUUAUGUCGGGGAAAUAUUAUGUAUAUUUUUUUCCAUAGCUAAUAUUAUAGUUAUAUUUCAGUAUGUGAUAUAUGCGUUUAAGCUACGAAUCGUUUAUGGAAAAUUAAACAAAGGCUACGGGUUUGUAGAAGACAAAAACCGCUGGCAUUAUAAGAAAAUGUACGGUAUACAUCCUAGUAAUUUUGAUUUAACCCAGCCCUUGGAGACGUAUAGAUUUUAAGUCCUGUGGGAGUUAUGAGAUAAUCCAGUUAACAUAAUGUAAUUAUCUCCCAGAAUAAUAAUAGCGAAUUUUACUAAAUAAACCAGCUUGUCGUUUAUUUCAUAAAAUCACUAAGUGUUAUCUUUGUAUCAACAUUAUUUGACGUUAUUGCGUUUUCUGAUACGAAAAACGUUUUCAAAUGUGAGUUCGCUUUAGUUAUAGUACAACUUAGCUAAGUACAACGUGCUUCAAAUUAAUAUUAUGUACUUUCCCAAUGCAGAGAAUAGGUUAGCUUGUAUUCGAACGGCUAUAUUUUGAUACUCAUUCAAAAAAGAUCAUUUUUAUCUAAGAUUAUUUGCCAGCUCCAAAACGUCGCAAUAAAUAAGCUUAAGCACUACAAAUUCUCCUAUUUUGAUAUCUUCCUGUAACUGAAUAUAUUAUGAAUUAUUUACAUUAAAGUCGAACAGGCUUGUAAUUUCUAAAAUCUUAUGUUGUCCGGCAACCAAGAAGGUAAUUUUAAUUUUCUUUUUAUUAAUACUGUUCCGGUUACAAUAUGUCCAUUACCAAGUAGUAGAACAUUUAAACGUAAACGACGACACAAGUCUAAGACAGUCUAAAAUAAUGACAAAAUUUCGACUCGUCGCGACACAUGAGAGAAAAGUGAGAAACAUUCUCCUUCAUGAGGUCUUGUUUUCCAAGCAGCAUGGACCUAAAAUCUGCGUUUUCUCUUGUCCUCCCUCAAAUAUCUUCGUUUUUCUUUGUUGUCUAGAUAAAGUGCCACCAUGGCCAAGUCACACCCUCGAAAAUUUGUAAACAUUUUUCCAAAGCUCCGUUGCAAUAUUGCUUGCCCAUAGAUUUGCGAAUGGCAACUGUAUAUGACUAUCGGAGCCACAUAUCGGUACGAAAACUGAAACGUGUAUGACAUGUGUGCUUUCCCCUUUCCGAUCCGGCACCGAUCCGAUUGGUUGGGCAUCGACGGAAAAUACUCUGAUCGGAGUCGGAUCGGAUAAAUGUGCUCCGGCUUUUAAGGUGGUGUAACACUUUGGCGUGGCAGAUUUGAUAAAUAUUCCUGUAUGACAGGUACUGAAAUUGGAUUUGCAGGACUUUUAAAACAAAACAACGUCAACUGUCCCCGGGUGAAGUCAUAAAAGUGGUUAUUAAAAUAACUAAUAUUAUUAGGGGAGGUGAAAAUCGCAGAAAGUUUCGUGAUUUUUUCGCAGAAGUAGAUGCUACAUAUGGGGACUUGUUACUUCACACCGUUAAGCUACGAAAACUGUUUGCAACGGUUCUUCGCUAUACGCAAGGACAUUCCUAUUUUUCUUCAAGAUGAAGACGAUUGCAACACUACGGAACUGGAAAAACCAAUGGCAGAUGCAGAAUUUUCCGCAGACUUUGCAUUUUUAACAGACCUGACAUAUCACCUUAAUGAAUUCAAUUUCAAGCAACAAAGGUGAUUAAAAUUGUCGUCAUUCCUUUUAAGGGGUUAUAGAGGCUCACUUGGAGAGACAACAGUUGAAAAUCUAAUUUCAACUUUGUUAUUAAGUAUUAUUUUGAAAUGGUCCCAUGUUUGUGACUUAUUUUGAAGCUCCUUUCACACAAUGUACAGCGAAUUUGCGAAUAUACGAUUAGUUAUGGGGAAAUGCCACAGUAACAUAGCAGAAGCUGUAAGAACUUACACCAGCAAAGGGCUAGACACUGGACGAUUGGCUCCAGGAAUUGACGCAGAUAGUUGACGAUAGGGAUGCUCUGAUUCCAGACCUAGAGUCACUGGUCUUGGAGGUAAUUGCAGCAGAACCUUCGAGGCGAACGUGGAGCAUUGAACAAGAACUGCCUCUUUUCCAGGCACCCGAAAAUUGUCCCGAUAACUCCUUGUCCUGAUAAAGUGAUUGGGACACAAACAUGUUUGGAGUUAAACGAGUAAAAAGCCGGUUAAUUUCGUUUUUCCCAGUUUUAACUGUGUCUACCGUUAAUACUAUACACGAUCCAGCAUUAGCCCACCAACCAAUACCAGGUGCACCACCUCGAUACUCGACAGCUGCACAGUCCAAACCUCAACCCCCACCAUAUAUGCCUUAACUAAUAAUCUUAAUAAGAUAUAAAAUUAAUUAAUCAUAAAAUAUUGUCAGCAUUUAGUAAUGGAAAUCAGUUAUUCUAGUUGAGUUUCAUUAAGAUGACAUUCAAAUAUUUAUAUUAAACCAAAUAAAGCUUAUAGUAUUGAAA
Molecule: long non-coding RNA, 2697 nt
Organism: Dendroctonus ponderosae (mountain pine beetle)
Lineage: Eukaryota; Metazoa; Arthropoda; Insecta; Coleoptera; Curculionidae
Exons: 5
Source: RefSeq, a predicted model, not a curated record